AAACUUUACAGUUAUUAUAAAUUUAAUUUUUGGAUGUUUCUUAGAAAUAACUUGUAUUUUUAGUAUUUUUUUGUGAAGUAAUAGGUUUAAUUAUAGUGUAUAGUACUGUGAAGGAACCUGUGUGAAUUGGUUAUAAGUAAUUUUAAUUUGAUGUACCUUUUGUAUCAGGGUUAAUUAAAUUAUUAUAUUUAUAUAUAUAUCCCGAAAUUAAAAGAGAUAAAAUUAAAUAUUAGUUUAUGUUUCAUAAUAAUUUAUGAUUUAAUUUUAGUAAUGAAAUGUUAUUCGUUUUUAAAUAUCUGGUUUUCAAAGAGUUAAAUUUAAUUUAGGCUUUCAUAUUUAUAUAUAGUAAUUAUAUUCUAUUAUUAUUAGUAAAGUUAUUAUUAUCAGGGAUAAGCUUGAUAUUAGUUCUAUAAUUUAGAGCGAUAAAUGGGGAUUUUGUGGGCUUGAAGUCAGUCAUCAUUAAUUUCGUUAUAGAAUAAUUACUUAAAGUAUUUAUUUUUUUUGAUUUAGUAUUUUAUUUGAAUUAUAAAUUUAAUAAUUCUAUUUAUGUAAAAAUGAUUAAAUUAGUAUUAAUGGGAAUUAAGUUAUAGUAACUCGGCAAGUAUAUUACUCACCUGUUUAACAAAAACAUGUCUUUUUGAGUAUUAUAUAAGGUCUAACCUGCCCAAUGAGGAAUUGAAUGGCUGCGGUAUUCUAACCGUGCUAAGGUAGCAUAAUCAUUUGUCUUUUAAUUGAGGGCUUGUAUGAAAGGUUGAAUGAAGUAAUAACUUUCUUUAAUUUAAUUUAUGAAUUAAAUUUUUUAGUCAAAAAGCUAAAAUAUUUUUAUUGGACGAGAAGACCCUAUAGAUCUUUACAGGUUAUUAAAUUUGAUAAUUUGGGGAAUUACUUAUUUUUAAUUAAUAUCUUGUUUGGUUGGGGUGAUUGUAGAAUUUUAUGAACUUCUAUUGUUUAGUUUUCAAUAAUUAUUGUUUUAUUGAUCCAUAUAUAAUGAUUAAAAGAUUAAGUUACCUUAGGGAUAACAGCGUAAUUCUUUCGGAGAGUUCAUAUUGAUGAAGGAGUUUGCGACCUCGAUGUUGGAUUAAAAUAAGUAUUAGGUGUAGCAGCUUAAUAACUAGGUCUGUUCGACCUUUAAAGUUUUACAUGAUCUGAGUUCAGACCGGCGUAAGCCAGGUCAGUUUCUAUCCAUAAUCUGUUUAUGGAUUUUAGUACGAAAGGACCAAAUUCAUGAAAUAAUUUUUUUAUAUUGAUUAAUAUU
RNAcentral lists this ribosomal RNA (1255 nucleotides) under Rhodnius pictipes. RNAcentral's name for it is "16S ribosomal RNA". The stretch from base 823 to 1188 matches the Rfam family "Bacterial large subunit ribosomal RNA", at positions 2073 to 2647 of the family's 2925-position model. The record is from RNAcentral. Lineage: Eukaryota; Metazoa; Arthropoda; Insecta; Hemiptera; Reduviidae.